This 492-nucleotide ribosomal RNA is filed under the name uncultured bacterium. Its description in RNAcentral is "partial 16S ribosomal RNA". It matches the Rfam family "Bacterial small subunit ribosomal RNA", at positions 29 to 507 of the family's 1533-position model. The record is from RNAcentral.
AGUGAACGCUGGCGGUAGGCCUAACACAUGCAAGUCGAACGGCAGCACAGUAAGAGCUUGCUCUUACGGGUGGCGAGUGGCGGACGGGUGAGGAAUACAUCGGAAUCUACUUUUUCGUGGGGGAUAACGUAGGGAAACUUACGCUAAUACCGCAUACGACCUACGGGUGAAAGCAGGGGAUCUUCGGACCUUGCGCGAUUGAAUGAGCCGAUGUCGGAUUAGCUAGUUGGCGGGGUAAAGGCCCACCAAGGCGACGAUCCGUAGCUGGUCUGAGAGGAUGAUCAGCCACACUGGAACAGAGACACGGUCCAGGCUCCUACAGGAUGCAGCAGUGUGGAAUAUUGGACAAUGGGCGCAAGCCUGAUCCAGCCAUACCGCGUGGGUGAAGAAGGCCUUCGGGUUGUAAAGCCCUUUUGUUGGGAGAGAAGAGCAGCAGGUUAAUACCCCGCUGUUCUGACGGUACCCAGAGAAUAAGCACCGGCUAACUUCGUG